UUUAAUGUCAAUUUAUUUUAUUUUUUAUUAAUUUUUAAUAAGUAGAUUUUUUACACGUUGCAUAGAAAUAAUUAUUUUUAAUUAUUAAUAUUAGGGUUAUAAAAUAAUUAAGAAACUAGGGUUAGUUGCCUAUUAUCAUUAAUGUAAAAUUUUUUAAGUAUUAUAAGUUAUUUCUUUAAACUUAAAUAUCAUGGCAGUAUUUUACCCCCUGCAGAGGAACUUGAAUAAUUAUUUGAUAAUCCUCACUAGGCCUUACUUAAAUUUAUUUUAUGUGUGGUUGUUUAAAUAAGUAAGCUAUUAUAAAUUAUAAAUCAGAUUUUAUGUAAAAAUAAUUAAGUUUAUUUUAGUUACAAGUAUCAUAUUUUUUAGGAUUUGCAAGUAAUUGUUUUUUUUUAUAAUGUAAAAAUGACGAGGUUAUAAAAUGUGUACAUAUUGUCCGUCACUCUCACUAAC
RNAcentral lists this ribosomal RNA (453 nucleotides) under Gaetanus brevispinus. Its description in RNAcentral is "partial 12S ribosomal RNA". Lineage: Eukaryota; Metazoa; Arthropoda; Copepoda; Calanoida; Aetideidae. The record is from RNAcentral.